UGGGGAAUAUUGCACAAUGGGCGCAAGCCUGAUGCAGCCAUGCCGCGUGUAUGAAGAAGGCCUUCGGGUUGUAAAGUACUUUCAGCGGGGAGGAAGGUGUUGAGGUUAAUAACCUCAGCAAUUGACGUUACCCGCAGAAGAAGCACCGGCUAACUCCGUGCCAGCAGCCGCGGUAAUACGGAGGGUGCAAGCGUUAAUCGGAAUUACUGGGCGUAAAGCGCACGCAGGCGGUCUGUCAAGUCGGAUGUGAAAUCCCCGGGCGCAACCUGGGAACUGCAUUCGAAACUGGCAGGCUAGAGUCUUGUAGAGGGGGGUAGAAUUCCAGGUGUAGCGGUGAAAUGCGUAGAGAUCUGGAGGAAUACCGGUGGCGAAGGCGGCCCCCUGGACAAAGACUGACGCUCAGGUGCGAAAGCGUGGGGAGCAAACA
RNAcentral lists this ribosomal RNA (427 nucleotides) under uncultured bacterium. Its description in RNAcentral is "partial 16S ribosomal RNA". It matches the Rfam family "Bacterial small subunit ribosomal RNA", at positions 355 to 774 of the family's 1533-position model. The record is from RNAcentral.